CACGUAGGCUGUUAUGUAAGUCAGGGGUGAAAUCCCACGGCUCAACCGUGGAACUGCCCUUGAUACUGCACGACUCGAAUCCGGGAGAGGGUGGCGGAAUUCCAGGUGUAGGAGUGAAAUCCGUAGAUAUCUGGAGGAACAUCAGUGGCGAAGGCGGCCACCUGGACCGGUAUUGACGCUGAGGUGCGAAAGCGUGGGGAGCAAACA
This 207-nucleotide ribosomal RNA is filed under the name uncultured bacterium. Its description in RNAcentral is "partial 16S ribosomal RNA". It matches the Rfam family "Bacterial small subunit ribosomal RNA", at positions 568 to 774 of the family's 1533-position model. The record is from RNAcentral.